AGCAGCCGCGGUAAUUCCAGCUCCAAUAGCGUAUAUUAAAGUUGUUGCAGUUAAAAAGCUCGUAGUUGAAUUUCGGGGUCAGUAGAUUGGUCGUGCCACUGGUAUGUACUGGUCUCACUGAUUCCUCCUUCCUGAUGAGCCGUAAUGCCAUUAAUUUGGUGUUGCGAGGAAUCUGGACUGUUACUUUGAAAAAAUUAGAGUGUUUAAAGCAAGCUAACGCUUGAAUACAUUAGCAUGGAAUACUGAAAUAGGACGUUCGGUCUUAUUUUGUUGGUUUCUAAGAUUGACGUAAUGAUUAAUAGGGAUAGUUGGGGGCAUUAGUAUUCAAUUGUCAGAGGUGAAAUUCUUGGAUUUAUUGAAGACUAACUACUGCGAAAGCAUUUGCCAAGGAUGUUUUCAUUAAUCAAGAACGAAAGUUAGGGGAUCGAAGACGAUCAGAUACCGUCGUAGUCUUAACCAUAAACUAUGCCGACUAGGGAUCGGAUGAUGUUAAUUUUUUAAUGACUCA
Molecule: ribosomal RNA, 508 nt
Filed under: uncultured Glomus
Lineage: Eukaryota; Fungi; Glomeromycota; Glomeromycetes; Glomerales; Glomeraceae
Description: SSU rRNA
Rfam family: Eukaryotic small subunit ribosomal RNA
Source: RNAcentral